GUCACCAUGUGGCCUGUUAAAUGUUUUACAAGAGAAUACUUGAAGGCACAGCAUGCUCUGUGGGUCUGAGAACACUUGAGGUCUACAAAUUCCCGCUAUGAUAGCGGCCGUGAGAAGAUAACGACUCUAGCGUGGUCUGCAGCAAGGGUCACGGGGAGCCUGGAGCCUAUCUUUGGGGACUUGGGGCACAAGACAGGGGACACCUUGGAUAGGGUGCCAACAGAUCGCAGGGCACAAUCGUAUACACAGUCAAACACCACGGACAAUUUGGAAAUGCCAAUAAGCCUACAACCCGUGUCAUUGGAGAGGAAAUCGGAGUACCUGGAGGAAACACAAAAACCCCUAAGCACAAUGCAACCUCCACACACACACAGGGCAGAGGCAGGAAUCAAUCCUCCGACCCCAGAGGUGCGAGGCAAAUGUGCUGACCAGUUCCUCCAGAGCAUUUCUCCAGAAGAACUGUAUCUGCACAUGCAUCAAAAGAAUCUGAUGCAUCCUAACCAACAAGCAUUGUGUGUACACAGUGGGCAGGGCAGCACAGCUCUCUGGAUCAUUUCUGAUGAAAAGACUUUGAUUCUCCCAGGCUGACUGACCCGACAAGAGCAGGUGUGCCAAAGCUCGGGUUUCAGGCCUCCCGGAGCGCUAACCACCUGCCCCGGCUCACCUUCUGCCCCCUCCGCAGAUACCUUUCUUGACUCAAUCAAUGGUUACAAUCACUUUUAUUGGAUCCUGUUUCAUAUUUGGAUCGUGGUUCUUAUUGGCACUCACAGCUUGCUGUCUCGCUCUGGUGGCAGUGCUGCUGAUGGGCCUUGUUGUGAUCCUCAGUCUCUCGAACUCCUCACAGAUGUAGCAGAUUUGUUUUUGCAAUGUCUGGCCUCCGCUUCUCUCUAAUAGUUUCUAUCAACGCAGUGACAUUAUGAAUGAACAAUGAUGAGCUGUAAAAAAGGCCGAUCAUGUUUCUGUUAAAACAGUGAGGUUUCUUGGCUUUGAGGGCUGACACUCAAUAUCUUCCUGUAAAUGAACACAGUGAAAGGAAAAGGUGGGAUCAAGCUUCUGUAUGGCAAAAACUCAAAUCAUUUUUUUUUUUUUUCAAGUAAUGCUUUACAUUAACGUUCAUUAAGAAAUGUUAAGCUUUGCGUUAAUAAAUUGUAUGUGAUGUAAAGUCAUCACAUGAAUGAAAUGUUACCUAAAUAUAUCUGCACUGACUUAUAUUUAUCCACGCCAUGACUAAAACUUAGACUAAAACUAAAACUUAGUCCAGAUAAAUUAGAAAAAAAAAAUGAAGGUACUAUAAUUAAAAUAUUAAAAGUUUUUAACAUGGGAUUAUAAGAGAAAUAUACUGUAUGAUCACAUGAAAAAUAUGUGAAGAUGUAUUUCAUGUUAUGCCCGGAAAUUGCACAAACUCAUGUUUAAA
Molecule: long non-coding RNA, 1414 nt
Organism: Ictalurus punctatus (channel catfish)
Lineage: Eukaryota; Metazoa; Chordata; Actinopteri; Siluriformes; Ictaluridae
Exons: 4
Source: RefSeq, a predicted model, not a curated record